Molecule: non-coding RNA, 78 nt
Organism: Potamilus streckersoni
Lineage: Eukaryota; Metazoa; Mollusca; Bivalvia; Unionida; Unionidae
Source: the annotation of a GenBank genome assembly
GACCACUCUGGUGGCUUCAGUGGUCAGAGCAUCUGCCUUGGAUGCAGGAGGUCAUGGGUUUGAGCCCCAGCUGAGUCA